GGGGGGGGGUGGGGGGGGGGGGGGGGGGUGGGGGGCGGAGGGAGGGGGGCGGGGGUGGGGGGGUGCGGGGGGGGGGAAGGGGUGCGUGACAGGGGGGUAGCCGUCCCGUGCCUGUGGGAUAGCUUGAGGAACCGGGGGAUACUACCGGAUAGGAGCCCGUGGUGCAUGAUGGGGGUUGGACCGUGUCGGGGGGUGGGGAUGGACUCGCGGCGUAUCAGCUUGUUGGGUGGGUAGUGGCUUACGAAGGCUUGGACGGUUAGCCGGCCUGAGAGGGUGACCGGACACAUUGGGACUGAGAUACGGCCCAGACUCCUAGGGGAGGCAGCAGUGGGGAAUAUUGCACAAUGGGCGGAAGCCUGAGGCAGCAACGCCGCGUGCGGGAUGACGGCCUUCGGGUUGUAAACCGCUUUCGCCUGUGACGAAGCGUGAGUGACGGUAAUGGGUAAAGAAGCACCGGCUAACUACGUG
Molecule: ribosomal RNA, 468 nt
Filed under: uncultured bacterium
Lineage: Bacteria
Description: partial 16S ribosomal RNA
Rfam family: Bacterial small subunit ribosomal RNA (bases 50-468)
Source: RNAcentral